AGUGAACGCUGGCGGUGGGCCUAACACAUGCAAGUCGAGCGAGUGGCGGACGUGUGAGGAAUACAUCGGAAUCUACUCUGUCGUUGGGGAUAACUUGGGGAAACUGACGCUAUUACCGCAUACGAGUGACUGAGCCGUGGUGGGAUUAGCUAGUUGGCGGGGUAAAGGCCCACCAAGGCGACGAGCCGUAGCUGGUCUGAGAGGAUGAUCAGCCAAACUGGAACUGAGACACGGUCCAGACUCCUACGGGAGGCAGCAGUGGGGAAUAUUGGACAAUGGGCGAAAGCCUGAUGCAGCCAUACCGCGUGGGUGAAGAAGGCCUUCGGGUUGUAAAGCCCUUUUGUUGGGGAAGCGGUACCCAAAGAAUAAGCACCGGCUAACUUCGUGCCAGCAGCCGCGGUAAUAC
This 406-nucleotide ribosomal RNA is filed under the name uncultured bacterium. Its description in RNAcentral is "partial 16S ribosomal RNA". It matches the Rfam family "Bacterial small subunit ribosomal RNA", at positions 29 to 526 of the family's 1533-position model. The record is from RNAcentral.